GUGAGGUCUUCGAGCCCAACGCAACAACCUGCAUUUACUUGUAAAGUGGUGCUUUUGUAUGUGUAACAGCAAAAUGACAUGUAACACCUCCGGUUAGUUCUGCUUAAUUAAUCCACUGCAUUCAGAUUUAACCUGUGAUGUGAGUCCAGCUGUGUAGGCUAGGUCUUCUGGUUUCUCAUGUUAAUGUGGGCUAAAGUUAGAGGGCAAUAGCUUCUUCCAAAUAUAGACAGAAAACAGAAGACUCUUGUGGUUUACAUUUAUUGUUUAUGGUUCUGUGGAUGCCUGUGUGUGUGUGUGUGUGUGUGUGUGCUUAUAUGUCCUGCAGACCUUGUUUGUCUAUUGUAUUUGUGCUUGUUAUUGUUUACUCCUGAGGGUAGCAGGGAGCGAUUGCAUCUGAACACUGAAAUUACAGCGAUGCCAGACUCUGAUAAUCGCAGUCAGAGAGCAGCAGCCUUCUCAUCUCCCCCCUCACCGCUGAGGCCCAGUACUCCAACAUUACAUGGACGUGAGUGACGAUCAGUCGCUGCCUGCUGGACUUCAGAAAGAAGGCAAGAAUCUAUUCUUUCUAGAUCUGGAGGAUAUGUCCAUUGUCUACUUAUUGCACAGGAAAACUAGGUGGACGUGGCUAUGAUCAUCAAACAGUUUUGAAAAGGCAUCCCUUGUUAGAGAGAAAGAGACAGACAGACAAUCUACCAGGUUUUACCACACGAACGCCACAGAGUCUCGCUGAUGAGGUUAAAAGGUAACACUUCAAUCGAGCUCUUAAUGUACACUUCAGCCACAGAAACAACACCACUUUCUCUGCCGUGGCACCUCACACUUUUCAUCUCCCACCUGUUGUUUUCAUUGGAGGAAACCCUUUAAGAUCAGAGCGACCCAACAAAAACAUCAUCUGUUUUCAUGGAUAACAGUUAGCGCUGGUUUUGAAAGAAGCAGAUAAGAUUAUAGUGUCUAAUGAGCAAUGGCCUGAGUACAUCUACCGGGAUAUACGUGUUAGAAGAAGCAGUUCGUCUUCGUGAUUUUGUGUUGGAUCUCUUCCACGAGAUCCUAUUAUAUCCUAUUAUUAAUUUUCUAUAAUCACAGUGGCUCCUGACCGCUAUGUAUAAUGUCUUAAUGUGUUUUACUUGGCUUCGUGUUUUCAAGUAUCAUUGUUUUAACACUAUCUUUGAUUAUGAAUAAUCUUCUGAUGGGUUUGUGAUGGAAAAUGCGCCAUAAGAAACAUUGGGAAAUUGUACUUUGAAAGCCAUUUAAUACCUAGUUAUGUAUUUUAAAUAAAAAACAGUAUUAAAAAUAAGUACUGUUCCUGUGUAUUGUUUUGGUCUAAUUUCCUUUUGAAUUACAUCCACA
Astatotilapia calliptera (eastern happy) is the source of this 1347-nucleotide long non-coding RNA. The record is from Ensembl. Lineage: Eukaryota; Metazoa; Chordata; Actinopteri; Cichliformes; Cichlidae.